Molecule: non-coding RNA, 26 nt
Filed under: Mus musculus (house mouse)
Lineage: Eukaryota; Metazoa; Chordata; Mammalia; Rodentia; Muridae
Source: RNAcentral
UGACAGCAUUUGUUUACUACUACUCA